AAAAAAAAAACAGAAAGUGGACUGGUUAUACUGGUUUAAACUAAAUCUCAAAAAGAAUGUAGAAACUACAUUCCAUUUCUGUGUUUUUAUAAACUUUAUAAAAAGUUAUUAAUGUUGCCUACACUAUUCCAGAUAGGUGAUAUUGUUUCUGUGUAUUUGGGGGGUUAAUGGAAUAUGUUUCCUUAUUAUUUUUACUUUUUUAAAGACAUUUUCCUUAAGUAGGUGAGAAUUUAUUUUGUUCAAAUCAGUGUGCCAAAAUACAGAUGCAUUUGCAUUAACAAUAGUUCAAAGUAAAAUGUCAUUUAAAAAAGCAGCAUACCAAAAGUGGCCUGAAAUUUGAGCUGCCACAGAUAGUGGGUCAUUUUCAAAUUUGGCCUGUUGGGAGGGAAAAUGGCCUGCAGAGAGCCAGGUGGCAGACAGUUAUAUGAUGGUUCUGUAUAAAUGUGAGAUUUAAUAAAUUGUUGUGUCCAUUAUUAUCAUUUUAAAAAGUAAAAUAUAAAAUUACUCCUUUGACUCAAAAAUCUAAGUAUUUACUAAGUGCUUUUUGUCCUGAUAUUUCCUUGAUAUAGUUUUAGAAAUAUCUUUAGAUGUUUGAAUGUCUUUUAUUUUGAUUUUAAAUAAUACUAUUGGAUAUCACUCAUUUGGAAACAUUAUGUUUUCUUUAAAAAUACAGUAUUACAUUUACUUUUCUAUGCAUUUAAGAACUAAAGUCUGAAUAAUGAUGGUUUGGGGAAAAUAUAUUUUCAUCAAAAUGAAAGCUCAUUAACCCAUGACAUUUAAUUUGAUUGACAGUUGUCUAGGAGGUAACAUUUUUAAGGUAGGUUGUACAUAUGUGUUGGAUUGACUAUAAAUGUGUUGUAACUAUGUUGUGAAAAUUAAGGCUUGAAGUAAAGUUUUAAAAAGUAGGAAAAAAGAUUAUGUUAUUUCUUUCUUAAAUAUUUUAUGGAUUUAUUGUUGAGACUAUUUGAAAUUUUCAUAUUUACUUUUUUGUAUUGAUCUAUUUACUAUGCAACAAUUUCUUUGGAGCAUGUACUUUGUGUUAGGCAUAAUUUUAAAGUCUUUGAUAUCUUAGAGAACAAACUGGACAAAAGUUCCACCAUUCAUGGUGCCUACGUUCCAGUAGUGAAGAAAAAUAGGAAAUAAAGCAUAAUAAGAGGAAGUUAUGCUGUGUGUUAAGAGAUUACAAGUGCUGUCAAAAUAAAGCAGCACAAGGAUGACCAGGAGAUGGGAGGCAGGAAAGGGUAGAGGAGAAGAGCAGGUUGAGAUUGUAAAUAGGAUGGCUAGGUUAAGCCUUAUUGAGAAGGUGAUAACUGAUAUUAGACUUGAAGGAAUUCAAAGAGCGAACUGUGGCUACCUGGAGAAAAAGCAUUCCAAGAAGAGGAAACAGAUAACCCAAUUGGAGAUCAGCUUGGCUUCAUUUUAGAACAAGCAGGAAGGCACUUUGGUUCUUCAAAAUUUUAAGUGGAGGUUUAUAAAUGCACGCAUAAUAGUUGUCAAGAUGAAUGUUAGGAUUCUGUAAUAAGAUACUUUUAUUUGUUGUUUUAUGGUCUUUUUUCUAUCUUGGGAAAAAACAAUAGCUCCACAUGUAAUAAAUUUAAAAAGAUGAGUCUUUAUUUUUAAAAUGUAGUUUUGUAAGUAGCUUUUCAAAAAUAUGGCAAAUACAUAUAUCAAAAUAUAUUAAAUAUAUAUGUUAAAAUAAUUCUUUGGCCUACAUGAUCAUAUAAUUAGUAACUUAAUUAUGUUUUUAAUUUUAUGGGCCAGAUAAUUGUAUUUUAUUCCAUGAAUGCUAAAUGACUAGACAAAAUAUAUGAACAUUCAAUUGUUAUGCAGAAUGCAAUUUACUAUAGUAUCUAAGCAACUAGUUGUUCACUAACUGUGAUAUUUAGAAGUGUGUAACUUCUAAAUUAAAGAUUUUUAAAUUAAAGAAAUUCAGUAGUUAGAAUUUCUUUAACAUGACUUGGAAGAAAUAAUUUCAAAUGGCUUCAUUUAAUCUACUUAUUGUCAGUUGUUUGUUUUAAAUGGUAUUUGAUUAGAUGUAUUCUGUUUCCAAAAUGCCUGUGUUUUUUGUCACUGUAUUAUCAUUGUUUUAUAAUAUAAAGACACACUGCUUUGAGUAUUUGUGAUUGAGCAUUGUAGAGAAAAUCACAUUUAAUUUUUAGUGUCCAGAUUUGUCUAUUUUUCUGAUCAUUUUAGAGUUAAUUAUUUCUUUAAAAAAUACUUUUAUUUUAUUUAUUUAUUUUUUAUGUGGUGCUUCUCACAUGUGUAAGGCAAGUGCUCUACCAUUGAGCUACAAACUCAGUCCCAGAACUGAUUACUUCUUCACCUGGUCUACCAUGGCACUUCAUGGAUAUUUCCAUGAUCAAUUUUCAUUAUGUUUUAGCUGCAUGAUUUCUAGCCUGUCUGCAAGUUGCUUAUCUUUGUAUCCCUACAAGGUGUUGAAAUACUGACAUGGUUCCUGCAGCCUCACAUCCAGGUCUCUUGGUCCCUCCUGAGAAGCAGUAGUGAAGCAGUGGAGUGGCCAAGUGGCACUCCUAGUGGGUUCCAGCACUGGUGGCAAGCAGGUGGAGCCUGCCAUUCAGAUGUGGCAGGACUGAGGUGCCUUGGGCCAGUGUCAAGAUGAGCUGGGGCAAGUCAAUCUGUCAUCCCACAGCAGCCUGGCCUGCACACAAUAUGAUCCUUAUUUUAUUUUAAAUUUUUAUAUUCUUUUCAGUUCUUCCUAAUCCUUAUUUUUUCUCCCUUACUUUAAAAAAUGCUUUUUUGAAGAACCAUAUUUAUUCACUUAUUCAACAGCUAUAAAUUUAAUAUCAACUCUCUACCAGGCACAGAGGUAGCCAUUUUCAGACUGAAAGUGAACAUGAUACAUAAGGGCUCUACUAUUAGAAUUAAUAGAUAAGCAUUGCUUAUUUAGCUAAUAUUUACUGGUUGUCUAUCAUGUGCUAGCCAUUAUUGUGGAAAUUGUGGAUAAGUUACUAAAAAUAACAAAGUCCAUGUCCCCAUGUAAGUUAUAUUCUAAUGAAAGAAUACCAGAGUAAGGGGGUAAGGAUAUCAGAUGUUGAUAUUAUUGACAAUGAUGUUAAUAAAUGAACACACCGACCAUGUUAUUUUAAGCAAUUAGUUAAUUAAUAAUCAUUUUAGCUCUCUUCCAGGUGCUAGGUGUAUGGUAAUGAUGUCAGAUAGCCAUACAGUCUACUAUUAGAGUGCAGAGGUAGAGCAUGAAAUUCAAAAGAGUGGAGAGUGGUCACAUUUGGAGGAAAUGGUAUAUAAACUGAGACCUUAAAGAUAAGUAGGUGUUAGAAUAUAGCCAAGAAGUCACAGGAGAGGAGGGGAUGGUAUAUAAAUAUAAAUAUAGUAAAGACUUUCAAGCAAGAAGGAAAGAACCUGAUGAAUCCAGAGUAGCUGGAUCAUAUGCAUGAGAGAUGAGGCAUCAACUGAUGAGGCUAUAAAGUUAAGCAGUGGCUAUAUUUUAAGGGACCUGGUAGGUUAUAUUAAUAAACGUUCAUCCUAAAAGCAUUGAGAGGACCCAUUAUUAGAUUUUACAUAUAAAAGUGACAUAAAAUGUUAUCACUUAUAAUGUAUAGGAUUUGCAUAAAUGAGGAAAUAUCAUUUUAUCGUAUGUAAAGUUACGCUAAAGUUCUUUGAUUCAUUAUAAUAUCUGAAUAUAAAGAAGUAAUAAAUAAAUUAUAUAAAUGUGUCUCUUUAAUCUGAAAAAAAUCAAUAGCAGUUAAUAUGAACCCAUACAAAUAUAGAAAUAAAGCUCUGCUUGCAAAGCAUUAUUAAGCUUAUAUUAACCUGUGUGCAAAAAAAAGAAACUAAAUUUUUCUUUGUGUAGAACAUUUGGUUACUCUUGUAUAUUUUCUAUCAUAUCGGUGAAAUUAUCAGAUAAUAUCCCAAGAGCUUAAGUGCCAUUUAAUAUCCCCAGUCAAAUGCACAUGAAACUGUACUUUUUCUCUCCAGUGAUUUAAACCUUUGAGGUAUUUCCAUUAAUUGGAAAAACAUUCAUGUCUGACAACUUUCCUGAUCCUUCUGAUAUGUGGAAAAUCACUGAAACUAUUGGAAAAUAAAAUUAUGGAAAAAAAAUUUUUAAAGUAUUGAAUAAAAAAAAUGGCCCAAAAUUGGCAGUCAAAAUUUCUGGAUCCAAUUCAUUUAAGUAAAUUUUAGUUUCCCCCCCAAAUAACUUUAAUGUUCUCUGUUUUAAACUUUUAAAAAGUCUGCAAAUAGCUAUUCAUCACAAUGGUCAUCUUAAAAUAGAUUACAAUUUGAAAAAAAAUAUUUAAAAGCCCACUUGUUUGAUUUUUCUGAUAUAUGUACUUCACCUAUAUAAUAAGGUACAAUAAAUACUUGAUAAAUAAAUGAACAAAUGAAUAAUUUUUAUCACAUGCAUGUCAUAUUGAGAACUAAUAUCCAGGAUAUAUAAGAACUCAACAUGAAGAAUGUGACUUUGUGUAUAAUCAGAGAUAUGAAAAAUUGUACUCUAUAUGUGUAAUAUGAAUUGUAAUGAAUUAUGUUGUCAUAUAUAACAAAUUAAAAUAAAAAAUGAUAUAAAGGAAAAUAAUUUAAAAAACUUAACACUAAAAAAAUACCCAAUCAAUAAAUGAGCUAAGGAACUGAACAGACACUUCUCAGAAGAAGAUAUGUAAUCAACAAAUAUAUGAAAAAAUGUUCAACAUCCAGAAAUUUGAGAAAUGCAAACCAAAACUACUCAAAGGUUUCAUUUCACUCCAGUUAGAAUGGCAGUUAUUAAGAGUACAAGCAAAAAUAAGUGUUGGCGAGAAUGUGGUAGGACUGCAAAUUGAUAAUAAGUGAUCUGGAAAGCAGUAUGGAAAUUCCUUAGAAAACUUGGAAUGGAAUCACCAUUUUAUCCAGCUUGGUUUAUAGCCAAAGGACUUAACAUAGCAUACUACAGUCCUGCAGCCAUAUUAAUGUUUAUAGCAGCACAAUUCACAAUAGCUAAUUUAUGGAACUAAGCUAGAUAUCCUUCAAUAGAUGAAUGGAUAUAUUGGCAUAUAUACACAAUGGAAUUAAAAGAGAAUAAAAUCAUGGCAUUUGCAGGUAAAUGGAUGGAGUUUGAGACUAUUAUGCCAAGUGAGCCAAUCCCAAAGCCCAAAGAUUGAAUGUUUUUUCUGACAAGUGGAUGCUGACCCAUAAUGGG
Molecule: long non-coding RNA, 5149 nt
Filed under: Marmota monax (woodchuck)
Lineage: Eukaryota; Metazoa; Chordata; Mammalia; Rodentia; Sciuridae
Source: RNAcentral